UAUCCUCGGAUCGACGAGCCGCCCUCGACGCGACCCCAGGUCAGGCGGGGCCACCCGCUGAAUUUAAGCAUAUCAAUAAGGCGGAGGAA
RNAcentral lists this ribosomal RNA (89 nucleotides) under Australina flaccida. RNAcentral describes it as "partial 28S ribosomal RNA". Lineage: Eukaryota; Viridiplantae; Streptophyta; Magnoliopsida; Rosales; Urticaceae. The record is from RNAcentral.